Molecule: long non-coding RNA, 22028 nt
Filed under: Citrus sinensis (sweet orange)
Lineage: Eukaryota; Viridiplantae; Streptophyta; Magnoliopsida; Sapindales; Rutaceae
Description: long non-coding RNA (CSIN_LNC002606)
Rfam family: MIR164 microRNA precursor family (bases 5862-6049)
Source: RNAcentral
GUGCGUUCCCCCAAUAAAAUGUUUUCACGUGUAUGUUUUUCUCUGUAUUUUGUGAUUAGCAUGUGAGUAUGAAAAAUUUCAUAUCCUGCGACAUUGUGUCCUGUUGUAAAACGUAGAGAUGACGUAGGAUCUAGUUUUUUUUUUUUUUCUCAAUUUUCACCUUGUCUUGCAUCUAGUUAUAUCUCCACAAUUUAAAGCACACAGGUAUUUGCAUUAGAGAAUCAUAAAUAAUAUAAUAUAUUUAAUGUACUCCUUUGUAGAUAUCAAUUAAUUCGAUUGAUAAAAUUUAAGGACCACGAGGUUUUUUUUAUUUUUAUUUUUAUUUUUCAUCCAUAAAGACGAGACAAAAACUAACAUCUGUGUAGAUAUGUCAAUUCUUAGACUAAAUAUGAUUUCUCUUGACAAAACUAACUAUUUUCUCUAUACUAUUUUAAAAUUGAUCAAAAUCCUCCUCAUAUUAUUGAAAAAUUAGGAUAGACCCACUUUUAAACUCAGAAGUUUAAUUGACGAGUGACAUAAUUAUUUUUUAAAAGAUUAAAUGCCCUUCAAAAAGUGUGUAUACUCGUUAGUGUUUUGACAAUAGAGGAAUUUUGGUAUAUUUUGAAAUAGUAACAGGAAAUUAUUAAUUAAUUCCAUUAGAUAUCAGAGAGGUUUCGUUUGUUUUCCCAAGUUUUCUUAGUUUCGUGCGACUAAAGUUAAUUAAACAGCUAGUGGAGAAUAAUUGUGAUUAGAUUCUCAGUACUUGGGUUUAAUUAGCAAUGAGACGAAAGACGGAAACACAAACUGGUAGAAUACAAUUUAUUUGAAUAUUUUUUCUGUCCAGUUCAAGAAAUUAAGGAAAGAUGGAAUGCUAGCUGGUGGAUUUAAGUUGAAACGAAAUUAUAUUUUAAUCGAAAUAUCAUUUGAAUUAUGAACAAAUUAAAUGAAUUCAAUUCGGUCAGAACCGUAAGGUGAUUCAUGCAUUACAUAAUUUUGAAAAAAAUGUACUUUGAAUCCAAAAGCGAUAAGACAAUAAAUUAAAAAGUGGUAAUAAUACUUAAUUUCUCCUGCUUUUCUAUUGAUUAGACAAAAAAAUUUUAAAUUUAAACAAUGCAAUCAUGCUUGUCACUCACUUGAGUAAUGGAGCCGUUUGUCCUCAAGCUUCAGAUAAUCAGAUUAGAUCUUAUAACUGCGGCUAAUCAACAACAAGCCCUUAACCACACAAAAGAGGGAAAUUGUUAGAUUUCAUGACCUAAACAUUGCGAUAACAUGACGAUGCCAUGAUGAAAAUACAAAUGAAUACCGCCUAGAGAAUACAAAAUUCCCAACUUAAAAAUUGUAUUUGAAUAAAGUUAUAUGCACAUUUGAUGGCACAAAAUCUGAACUGUCGCCUAUUAUAUUUGAUAAUGUGUACAAGUGACUAAAGUUCACAAUUUAUUAGCACAAAAUAUCAAUAAGAAAAUGACACUACUGAAAGUUGGCUAAAAAAGUUGAAAAAGGGUAUAACAAAAUUCAAAUAUACAGAAACAGAUAAGGGAUUAAUGCUUGCAUAACUUAGUUAGUUAGUAAAAAGAAAUGGUGUAAAAUCAGUCAAGCAAGAAUUAGUUGUGAAGAAUGUGAUGGGACUCCAAAUAAUUGAGUUUUUACAUAAAUCAAGCGCACUGUUGUCAGUUGAAAUCUGGCCUUGUCAACAUGUGAGACAAAAAUGUGGUGCACUCCAUGAUUUGAUGGUAUGUAGGUCUCACAUUCUUUUAUAUAUUCUUACUUUAAUUUAAAUUAUAUCAAAUUAAUUAAGGUGAUGAGUCCAAUAAUUAUCUUUGUUUGUCACUCCACUACUGUUUCGUCUUUUGCUUUUAAGUGAUAAGUAUUCCAUUUACACCAAUAUUGUUUAAUGGCAUCUUUAAUUACCUACUUCCAUGCUUGUCUCCUAUUUUUUUUUCUUUUCUUAAUCUAACUAGCAUACACCCACCUCAUAAACCACCAAGUUAAUGAACUCACAUCCUUUUCGCUUCAUAGUUAAUAAAUAUUAUUUCUUUUUGAAUCUGAUGUCAAGUAUAGCUUUUAAAUUGACAUACUUAGAAAUAUAUGCAGUACUUCAAUUUUUUCAAAAAGACAUUCUAAAAUGUAUCUUUCUUUCCAUAGCAUAGCAAUUUUAUAUAAUUUUUUUUUAUAAUUGUGUUCCUACUCGUAUCACUAUCACUGUCUCAGUGGAAUGCCAGGUCAAUGGACCGCAUCCAACAAAUUCUUAAGCACAAGAAAACAAGACCAUCCAGCCAUAAAGUUAAUUAUUUGGUUGGAUUACCAAAAAGAUUAAUUAUAAUAUGAUUCAAGUAAUGUGCUCAAUGGCUAUAUCUUUUAUCUCCAAUUUGAUAUUUUAUUUCAUAAAUUUUACAGUCGAUGAUCUGUCGGAACCUCAGGUUGCCAGAUGUCACAUUUCACUUGGUUCUAUGUAUUGAGAAAUGUUAGAGCCUAGGGUUUGCUACUGAUAAUCUUUUAUUCCAUUCAUGUUAUGCUACUGUCAUCGAGGGAAAUAUUGCAACAUUAUUUUGAGAUAAGGAACAAAAUAAGCACAUACUCGUGCUCAAAUUAUUUAUCUAAAAAUCUUUUUGGGAGAAGCAAAUAUAUGGGGGCCUUGGAAUUGUCAAGAAGCACAGAAAAUUGUCAUCGAUAAAUAUUUUAUCUUUGCCUAUCUACCAAGUUGCUUUUGGCUUGGACCAUUCAUUCCUCAGGAUUAGGUAUAAGUUUUUAUUGUUUUCUGAUAGGCUGGCAAAGAUUUCCACAAUCUUGUGAAGGGCACUAUGGAUGUCUACUCACAAAAUAGUUUCUAUCGUUAAAGUCCUUUUUUCCCUGCUCCUGCAUAUGGAAAUUUCGGAUGCGAACGUAUUUAUGUUUCAGAAUAUGGAUUUGAGCAAUAUGCUACUAUUUUGUACUGACAAGAAUUUUCUCUCACAAUCAUAUAUCAUUAUUUUACAAUAAAAGCAACACUAUAUUAUUCAAAAUUUACAUUUUUAAUAUGUGAAAGUCUGUCAAUAGAAAAGAAUUACUCCAAAAUUUUAUGAGUUGUAUAUUUCUCUAAUAUUCACUUUUUAUUGUAAGUAUAAAAUUGCAUAAUCAUUCCCCUCCAUGAUCUAAGGAUUACAUCACCCUUAACAAUGUUAUCAACGUGUAAGGAAUUUCGACUUGUAUUACUUAGCUUUUCUUUAAGUUGAAAUUCCUCGUUCCAAUCUUAUAUUAUUAGAUGUUCAAUGGAAAUUAAACUAAUAAUAUAAGAUCAAUGGUGGGGUCAAUAAGAUAAUAACAAUUGAAAAAUUCCUAGAAAAUAAGCAACAUUAUUAAUCAAAGAUGUGUACGCUUCCAAUUUGUGAUGACUAAUCAUACACUAGAUUUUCCCUAUGCAAGCACAUAAUUUGUGAGUGAUAAGAAGGAAAAAGAGAAAGAUUCUACUAUUAGCCCAUGUUUCAAGACAUGAGAGAAGCAUCUGUGACCUCCACAAAGGGAAGUAUUAGUGGACUUGGAAAAUGACUUUGAGUCCCUUCAGUUGAGAAAGUGGGUCUAGUUAAAACGACAAUUGGUACAAUCAUGAAGGUUUUAAACACCUUACACACCACCUUCUUCAACCGUAAGAAAAAAGAAUCAAAAGAAAUUAAUUAACCAAAAGUUGCCAGGGCCACAAAACCCUAGUCACCUCCUUGCUUUGUGCCAUAUAUAUGCCUAUAUGCUCCACUGUUCUCUUAGAGCUUUCCCCACAAUCUUUGGACCAGCCAAUAAAAUUUUUCAAAAUGGCUUUAGGUCAAUUAAUUUUGAGAGGAGCGCAUCACUAGCUUAAAGUUGUUAUGUAGCAUCUGCAUCCAAAAUUUGAUUAUUUUUUGGUUAUUUUAUUCAUGGGAAAGAUUUCUAUAUCCAUGUAUCAUUUAAACACAAGACCAUAUGGUAAGUCCUAUUCUAAUAAUAAAUAAAGUUAUUAAUUAUCACUCGAUCUAAAAAUUUAAGCUUAAAUUAGUGAAUCCCCUGAGUAGUACCAUAUUAAGCCAUCAAUUAUCGCUUGACCUAAAAUCUUAUUCUCAAAUCAGUUGAUGGUAUGGAGAGAGAGAGAAGUUUUCACAAUUUACUCAGAAUGGUUUCUUCCGGAUUUAUUUUACAGAAAAAGGUUUUGAAACUAAAAAAAUUACAUUUGCUUCACUUCCGAGCAAUAAUAUUCUAUUCUUGCUUAGAGUGUUUAUUUUACUAGUAUGUUUUCAUAUUCUUAAUUUCUCUAGUUAUUGUAAGUUUUGAUUAUGUAAAAAUAAUUUUUGGUCGCGAAAAUUCAGACAGCAACGUUUCUGAUUAUGACACAAAAUUGCAUGUUCUGUGGCGGGCAGCUUCUCCAGAAUAUAAACAUGAAAAUAAAGAUUAAUGUUGACUGAAUUGUGAAGAAGAUAGGCUCAUAUGCCAGAAUUAUAACCUGUCCAUUUCUCAGUGGUUACACCAACCGUCUCUAUUUUAUUUUAGCACCAUUUAUCCAAAAAUGAAAUAUGAAUUAUGGACGGUAAUAAUGAAAUAUCCUUGCCGGCGGGGCAUAUUAUAUAUCAAUAACGAAACUGAAAUUAAUUAAUGAACUAAUAAAUAUGGAAGUUAUAUCUACAUCAAUCUUAAUUUAAUUAUUAUACCUACUUUUUUAUGCAUUAACAAUGAUGAUAAUGACAACUUUAUAUAUAUUAUGAUAUUUGUUUACUAGAUGCAAUUUAUACUUAAGAAUGAACUAGCUAGAAGCCUUGUGCUUAAUUAUGAAGCAUGAUGCUACUUUCGUAAUUUGCUAUUGAGUUAAUUUACCCAGCUGCUCAGGGAAUGAAUAGGCUAUACAGUACAUGGGGAUUUGAACAGUUUUGCAUGAUGAAUAGACUUGUCAUAACCUAGUUUUUUGAGAAAGAAGAUUUCAGAAGGAAAAAAGAAAGAAAGAAAGAAACUUUUCAUUCCUAUAAUUUGAAUCCAUAUGGUAAAAUUAAUAGAAUCAUUAUAAUUGCUAAUUAAGUAUAAGUUGUCGUUAAUUGUUACAUUAGCUAGGGGCGGAACUAGGUCUAGUCCUGGAAGCCGGAAAAAGUUUCAGAUGAAAAGGAUUGCAAUGAAAUUUUACUAAUUUAUGUAAAAUUUUCAUUUGGCGCCUAGUUUUAUAUUUUUUUAAUCAUGUAGCUUAAUUAAGUACAUUUUUUCCAUUUUGGUCCUCAUUUUCGGCCUCUCAAUUUUACUAAUUCUUCGUUACAACCUACUAAAGUUUAUGAUUUUUAUAUUAUAGCUCCGUCAAAUCAAAAUCAGUUCUGCCACACAUAUAUUUGCUUAAUAUUUUAUAUAUUGUGCUUUUAAAAUGAAAAAAAGAGUAGUAUGAUUGUUCCAAACAUACCUCAAUUUUAAAGGGGAAGCUUUAAUACUUGGUGUGAAAGGGUUGAGGGCAAAAGCACGUGCAUUGACGAGACCGGCGAGAUCAGUCUCUCUCUCUCUUUUUUUUUUUUUUUCAUUUUUCCCAUCCCACUCUCCUACCGCCACUGUCGCGGACGGGAUGGGGGUAAAUUUUGUAAUAAUAUGAAAGUAAAUAGGCGCUUGCUUUAGUGGCCCUACACAAAUUGCGAUGGCAAUUAGCUGUUUUGGGGCAGGGGUCCCCCACCCAACUAAGCUCUUUUUCAUUACAUCAUGUGCCCUUUAAGCAUGGCUUAUUAACUUGCUUCAUUUGUUAUAAAUGAGUGGGCAUGGAGCAUAGGUAUUUGCAUCUGUGAGUAUCCCAAAUCCACCAUUUUCAUUAACAGCUAGCCAGCCAUCAUCAGUCCUGAAAACUGCUCUCUCUCUCUCUCUCUCUCUCUCCCUCUCUCUUCUUUUAAUAUAAUUGUGGCAUCAUCAGCAUGAGAAGGUGUGUGUAGAGCAAGAUGGAGAAGCAGGGCACGUGCAUUACUAACUCAACCGCACAUACAUCUACUAACAAAAAUUAAUUAAUCCACACAUUUUGAAGAAACCAAAUCAAGAAGCAGCAUGCUCUUUCUGUUGUUAUAGCUCAGUCAUGAGUUGAGUUAUUUCUUCAUGUGCCCUUCUUCCCCAUCAUGACCGCGGCACCUUGUGUGUGUGUGUGUAUCAUCAGGGAUCAGCUCAAGAUCUGAAUUUCUUCUUAGCAAAAUUCAUGUGCCAAUCUAAAGCCUACCAAAGCCGCAAAGCUCGCCAUUUCAGGUCAGUCCAUUCUUGUCAAAAACCUAGCAAGAAAAUUCUGUUUGUUGUCAUGGAAGCAAAAUUUUGAAUUAACAUUAACCGAGAAGCUAAUUAAUAAGCUGCUGUAGCGAUAAGGACUGUAAGAAAAAUAUGCAUGCAAUACUGACGGAUGUGGAACAUAUAUUGUGAUUGUGAGAGUGAAAUUUCCGUUUUUUCAACGUUCAACAACCUAUGGUUGGAUAAACAUUGACCGAAUAGUUAUCAUUCUAUGUUGUCAUAAUCAGGAUAAAAACGUGACCCUAUCUUGAGACUAAUUGAACAUUGAUCACGAAAUUAAUUAUUAGGGCUAGCUAGCUGCUUACUUAGAGUCACCAUCUUCGCCGUGAAGUUUGAUCAAAUUAAUGAUCUCCAACUUCACUUCAGGAUUUCGAAUCUCAAUUUUCCGUUCUCUUUCACUUAGAAAGAGCUGUUUGGAAUUACGUGUGCUGUCUGUGUACAUGUAAAAAUAAAGUACAACAAGUCUUCUGACAAAUAUACGUACUCUCUGUUUAAUUGAUUUUCCCAAAGCAGAAACCCAUUUAGCAUUUCUCUAUUAACAUACGAUAUUUAUCAAGUAAAAUACUCAAUUGGGAAACAAAACAAAAAAAAGCAACUUCGCACCAACCCAAGAUUCUUCCUCCUGUUGCUGAUCGAUGAUUACUUCUUGUUGUUUUCUUAUUUUUCGAGUUAAUUUUCUAUUAAGCACUACUUUUUAUAUCAUACUUCUUUGCUUUGUUCUAAUUACAUUCAUUUGAAUUUAUCACCUAAGCUGAAGUCGCAAAAGAACAUUGUAUUUUUAAUUAUUAUUAUUAUUAACUUUGUUUUUCAGGACAUGAAGCUUUUCAAGGCUUAAGAAAUAAGGACAGGAACGAAUCUGGAUAUUUAAACUGGUUUCUUUUUAUACAGAUUAUUAUUAUUAUUAUUGUUAUUGUUAUCAUUAUUAUUAUUUGCUUAGUAUGAGAUUAGUAAACUUGAGGACACGUUAAGGAAUUAAAGCAUAAAUUCCCAAGAAAAGAGAUUACUUAAGGACAUGAUCAAUUAAGAUGCUAAGAGAAUUGGUACCACCACCGAGGAGACAGUUCAAGAAAACUACAAUACCGCACACAAGUCUAUUUAAUCUCUGGCAUUUCUCCUCACAUCCACGUUGGAUCGAAAAUGAAAAGCCAUAGAUUAGGCGAUUGCUUGCUCUUCAACCCAAGAAUGAUUUCUCGGUUUCCGAAUCCAAUAUAUCACAGAUUUUUGUUUAAUAGCUGUUUGGAAGAUACCAUAGAAAAGGAUGUGUGCAUACAUCGUUACAUGUACUUUCUGAUCAUAAAUAUUAUUUGCUUUUGUUGUGUACAAAUUCCAACUUUUUCAGAAUAUAAAAUUAAUUCAUAUUAAAAAGAGUUAGACAUCGAUUAUUUGAAUAUUUUCUUUCUUGACCUUAAGUGCGCGCUUUCUUUGAACAUUUUCUUUUUUGUAAUAUUUGUUGUUCAUGAUUUUGCAAAACAUAUUAAAGAAGUAGCACUAACCUAUUAUUUUAUUCUCUUUUAAGUUUCAUAUGCAAUAAAUUUGCUUUGCUUUGCCUUGCCUAUAUUUUAUCAAAAACACACACGCAUAAAUUUCUUGAUGACAGAUCUUUUAAUGAACCUAAACUAUCAAUAUGUGAAAAAUUCUCAAGUUCAUGUUCACGCUUUAGAAAAUGUAAAUUUGAAUAGCACAUCUUUAUUUCUUAUUCCUUAAUAAUAUGCUUCUUCUUUUUAACAACAAUAAAUAGUUAUUUUGUUACAAAAUAGUGAUGUACUACUCAAAAUCAAUAUUUUAGAAUUUCCAAACUACAAGAAUAUUGGUUUUUAUCAAUGAAACUUUUAGCGAUGAAAACAUUAUCAUCACUGUAAGUACUUUUUAGCAAUGAAAAAAAUUUUGUUGCUAAAUUCAUAAUAAAAAAAUAAUAUUUAAUUAUUACUUUUAGCAAUGAAUAUAUAUUGCGACCAAAAAUUUUGUUUAUUGUCAAAACUCUUCAUCGCUAAAACUCUUUUAUAUGUCAAACGAGCAUGUUUUAGUGACGAAAACAUAUUUUGUAGUUAAAACUUUUUAAUAUGUCAAAAGAGUAUGUUUUAGUGACAAAAAUAAAUUUCGUUGCUACAAAAUAGUUUUAGCGACAAGAUUUAUUUUCAUCAAAUUUAGUCGCUAAAACUUUUUGAUAUACCAAAAGAGUAUGUUUUAGCGACGAAAAUAAAUUCCGUCACUAACAUAGUUUUAGUGACGAACUAUGUUAGUGAUGAAAUAUGUUGGUCGUUAAAACUCUUUGAUAUGUCAAAAGACCAUGUUUUAGCAAUGAACAUUAGAUUUCAUCACUAAAUGUGUACCUUCAGUGACGAAAUUUGUAUUGCAUCGCUAAAAAAAAGUGAAAAUCUAAAAAAAAAAUUUGGCGGAUGUUUUGCACUAAAAUUUAAGACUUUUAGUGAUGAAUUUGAAUUUCAUUGCUGAAUGUGUACUUUUAAUGACGAAAAUUAGAUUUCAUCAUUAAAUAUAGUUUUAGCAAUGAAAUAUUUAUUUCGUUGCUAAAAAAUGUUAAGAUUUAAAAAUUUGGCAGAUUAUUUUCCGUUAAAAUUAAGUUUUAGAGAUGAAUUUUAAAUUUCGUCGUUAAAAACUCUUGUAUCAUAUUUAUAUAUCAUUUAUUUCAUUGUCUCUUUCUUUGUCUCAUUCUCUCAUUCCCUUACUUUUAGUCUUUAAUUCUCUCAUCUCUAAAUAUAUAAUUGUCAUUUUCUAAUUUAAUCUAUACUUCUUUUCUGUUUUGUUUUUAAUAUGGUGUAAUUUUUUUUACUUAUCUUGUUUAUUCCAACUUAUAUUAUUAUUAUAUUUGUGUUUAUUAUGUUACCUAAUUAUUGUGUGUUUAUUUGUAGGGAAUAUUGAAGAUCAGUUACAUCAAGAUGAAGAAAAUCAAGAAAUUUCUAUUCAUUUGUGACAAUUUUCUUUCAAAAAAUGGAUAUCAAAUUUUGUGAUUAUUUUUGUAUUGUUCAUCAAUAACAAUAAUUCUUUUAAAAUAACUAAUUUUGCUUUUAUCAUAAUGGUGUUAAUUGUCAUUGUAAAUUUAGUAUUAAAAUAAUAAUAUUUUAACAAUAGUAAUAAUAAAUAAAUAAAAGAAAAACGAUAGACGAAAAUUAUUAUUCGUCGCUAAAAGUUAUUUUUGUGAUGAAAGAAAAUUCGUCACUAAAAGAACUUUUGGUGAUAAAAUAUAAUUCGUUGCCAAAAGUACUUUCGACGACGAAGAAUUCUCUUCGCCAAAUGUGCUUUUAGCAAUGAAAACAAUUUUGUUGCUAAAAAUAAUCUUAGCGACAAAAUUUAAAAAUUUGAUGCCAAAGACUUAACAUGAGGCUCCUAUUGCAACGAAAUAGCAGCAAAAUGUUUUUCGUCAUUAUAGCCUUUAACGACGAAAAUUGUAUGUUUCAACGACGAAAUUGUUUGUUACUAAAGCCAUUUUUGUUGUAGUGCCAAUAUUCAUUAUAGAAAAAACUAUCUCAGUAUGUGGAGAAGGUUUUCACUGCUUCUAAAAUAAUACACCAAGGUAACAUUUACUUCUCGAAUUGGAACGAGAAUCUUGGAUUGGGAGCGUAGAGUGAGAGUGAGAAUUGGAGUAGGGUGCUUAUUCACAUUAGAAUGAGAGUGUGAAAUAAGAAUCAAAAUUUCAUUUAUAUGUUUAUUUUAUCUUGGUUGAGAAUGAAUUGUUUUAAAUCAUAGUUUUACUCAUAUUUAAAGAAUUAUAGUUUUAGUUACAAAGUAAUAAAAAGUACAUUUGUAGAUAAACUAUCUAUUUUAUUAUUAAUUAUUAAUAUUAAAUAAAUAUAAUAUAUUUAAAUUAAAUAAAUAUAAUAAUAUUAUAUUUAAAUAAGUUUAAUAUUAGUAUUUUUAAUAAAAGUAAUAAUAUGAUAUUAUUAUUUUUAAAUAAAUGUAACAUAAUUUUAUUUUAAUAAAUAUAAUUAUAUGAUAUUUAAUAAUAGAAAGGUAAAAAAAGAAUUUCUACUCCCACCUUCUCCAUGUGAAUGAGAAUCUCACUCCUCACUUUAAAAAUGAGUGGGACUUACAGAGUGAAACUCUUAUCCUUAUUUUUAAAUUAGAAAGUAAACGCUGGAGUGAGAGGAAGUAACACUCCCCAUUCCUACUCCAACAAGUAAAUCGGUAGAAGAGUUUUGCCUUUUGAGGCUUGACCAAGUGGAAGUAUCAUUAUUUGAUUGGCCACCUAAAUUCAAAUCUUAGAAAAUGUAGGAUAUAGGAAAUGGAUUUGGUACUUUGCCAAGUGCUCAAAUAUAGAUUGCAUACUUAUCUUUCUUGAUAAUAAAGAGAAAACGAUUAAUGUGUUCUCUUAUUUUACUUGUUUCUUAUUUUGUUUUGAUUAUUUAGUCAUGUAGGGGUAGUAACGAUUUAGUGAAUCGAAUUCAUGUCGAAUCAUAAAUGAAUCAAAUCAAAAUUCAAUGGAUUCAGAUUCUAUUAUUUUAAUAAAUGAAUAUUCGUUUACAAUUCAUUUAUUGUAUAAAAUUAAAUAAAAUAAUAAAUUAAUUUUUUAAUAAAGAAUCAAAUAGAUUCAUCUAAAUUCAUUUAUUAAUAAACAAAAUCGAUUCAUUACAACUAGAUCCAAUCAAACACAAAUACAAUCCAAAAACAAGAAACUGAAGAAACUCAAAGGCAUAAGGAAGGACAAAGUUGAUGGUCGAAUUAGCAACAGGUGUGACCACGGCCGGCUUUAAAGUUUUUGGGGCCUUAGGUGAAUUUUUUUUUAUGAGGUCUCUUUUUAUUCUGCAACUUCAAUACUCCAAGAAACAUAAAAAUCUCAAAAUUUAUUCUAUAUUUAGUUCUUGAAUUUCAACAAUAAUUAAGAAGAUCUUAAAAAUUUUUAAAAAUAGAACUUAAAAAAUAGUGAAGAAGAUAUCUUUUUUUUUAAAAGGGAAGAAGAUAUUUUUUUUUUACUUCCAUCGGAACCAUUAAAAAAUAAACAAACAAAUAAAUAGGAAAAAUACUAUUUUAAAAUAGAAUAUCUAGAAUUGCAGAACAUAGAAAGUUGAAAAGAUGAAUUGAUAAUCAGAUAAUGGAUAUGGGCUUUAUAUUUUAAGUAAUUAACUUUUUCUUUUUUAAAUGAACUAAUGAAUGUAAUAAUUUUCUUUGUAGAUAAGACAUCAAGAAAUUGUUUCAUCAAUUGAUUUUUGAGAUUAUAAGAUUUUUAAUAGAAAUUAAAAGGAAUACAAAAAGUUAAAGAUUCUAAUGUUGAAUAAUUAAGUUUUCUAGAAAACUGAAAAGGUAAAUAAUUUAAUUUUUUUUCUUGGAAAGAUUAAUAGUGAAUGAAUUAAUAGUUAGAUAAUAUUAUUAAUUUUAUCUCUUUAACACUAAGAUUAAAAAAUAUAGAUAGCCUUUCCUACAAUACAUAAUUAAAAAAAAACUCAUUAAUUAAAAAAUUAUUAAGGACAUACUCAAAAGAUGAUGCCUUUCUUGGGACUUUAGGCGACUGUCUUGUUUGCUUAUACUUAAAGCUACCACUGGAUGUGACUAUUCGAGACCUUAUCACUACCGUAAGUGAAGCUUACUGGAAAAUUUUGAGUGAGAGCAUUGAUAUGAUCUUGGGAGUGUCUAGUUUGGCUUCCACUUAGGGGAAUGAAGAAACUAAUCUUCAACUCCAGGUGAAAGACAACGAUGCAGGAAGGAAAAUGAAGAGUGGAGCUAGGGUGGGCUGAUGAGUGAUCAUGCCCUUGCUUUCAUUUUCUCUUUUUUUUUUUUGGGUUUGUUAUCAUUUCAUAAUUACAAAAAUAACCUUAUACCUUGGAGUGUUUAAACAUUUUUUUCAAUUUUAAUGGUAUAUAAGUAAUUUUAUUCAAAGGGUCAUUUAUUAUUCUAUUCACUUAAUAAAUGGAAAAGGACAAACACACCCCCAACGUUUAGGCAAAGGGACAAAAAUCCUCCUAACAUUUCAAAAAAGACAUUUACACCCCAAUUUAUUAUAAUUUUACUAUUAUACCCUUCUAGCAUAUAAAUUUUUUUUAUUAAAUUAUCCAAUUUGUCUAUAUAUUGUUAAUAAAAUUGUAAAUAGACAAAUUGGAUAUUAUAAAAAAAAUUUAAAUAUACCCUCAUUGCCCAAUUUCUCUAUUUAAAUUUUUAUCAAUAACCAAUUUGCAAAAAAGACAUCUAUACACCUAAAAAAAUUAUAAAUAAAUUAUAAUUUUAAAAAUAAAAUUGGUUAUUAAUAAUCAAUUUUAUUUAAACUUUAAACUUGUAUAUUUAACAAUUCUCCACAUGUCAAUCAUUUAAACUUGUACAUUUAUAACCAAUUUUCUAUGUUAUUUAUUAUGGUAUUAAUAACCAAUUUUAUUUAUAAAAUUAUAAUUUAUUUACAAUUUUUUUUAAGUGUGUAGAUGUCUUUUUUGAAAAUUGGUUAUUGAUAAAAAUUUAAAUAGAGGAAUGAGGCAAUGAGGGUAUAUUUAUAAUUUUAUUAACAAUAUAUAGAUAAAUUGGAUAAUCUAAUAACUUUUUUAUAUGCUAGAAGGGUAUAAUGGUAAAAUUAUAAUAAAUUGGGGUGUAAAUGUCUUUUUUAAAAUGUUAGGGGGAUUUUUGUCUCUUUACCUAAACGUUGAGGGUGUGCUUGUCCUUUUCCCCUUAAUAAACAAAUUCUAAACAAAUAAACAAAUCGAUCUCAAACCCGCAUUUGAUUCGUUUAUUUUAAUGAGUCGAAUUGAAUUUAUAUAUUUAGUAAACAAAUUAAUUUUUUUAAACCCAAACUCAUUUAAUUCGACUCGAAUAGAAUUAAAUCAAUGAAUCCUAACUUAAAUUACCACCCCAAGUUAUAUGAGAUAUUAUCAACAAGGCUCACUUUGUGAAAGGAAUAAAAAAAUUGACACAAAGAGUGCUCUUAGGAUGCUUCCUAGGAUGCUUCCAACUUCAAUGAUUUCUUUAAAAAAGAAAAAAAAAAGUUAAAAAGACAGUAAAAUUUAUUCUCCUUUAUUUACAAACUUCUUGUCCCACAUUUUUUGCCGGGUGAAAGUGAACGAAUCAUUUAAAGCAAGCUGACAUCAUAUAUGUAAUAAUUAGAACCACAAACUUAAAUAAUUCGACAUCAAUAAGCAAUAAGUCUCUGUUGAGUAAUAUAUAAAUAAAGAAAACGAUAGAAAUAGACCAAAGUAUAUUAAUGAAAGCAUAUUAGAAAAGCAAGCAAAUGGGCUGGUUAGAAUCACAAUUGCAGCUCCCAGCUGGCACGGUCAGCUACAAGCAAAGUUACAUGAAUUUGUGGUUCAGAAAAGUAUUUUCUCUUGGAGUUUUAAAGCUUUGAAUUGAAUCUUGAAGUUUAAGCUUUUCAAUACAGCGAGAUCACUCGGUAAUUGUCUAAUAAUCAUUUGACUGUUGAAAAUUCGUCAAAGAGAGUAAAGGAGAAGCAAUGAACAGUUAAACUACAUGACAUCUCUCCCCCGAAUGAUCUCGUUACCAAGAAACGACACGUCCCCCGCUCUUUCAAACUGUAGACAAACUGUUUAGGAUUCCAGAACAUAAGAUCCAAUUUGUCGCAAAAUGUCGCAUAGAUCAACUGCACCACUUAAGGAACUCUGGACAAGCUGUUCGUUUCUUCUGUGAAACCGUUUCGUGAUAUUCUAACUUGGAACUUGGAAGUAAAGAUGCUCUUAGACUAAUCACCCUACAACUGGCUACCAUACCACCUGGCAGAAUUUGGAGCAAUAUACUGCAAGGUGAUGAAGCAUCUGCACUGUUACCACAAGCAAUCCAUUGAAAGAAUACAAGAAACUGAAGAAAGAAUGCUGACAGCAUAUUUGUGCAUUGCUAUUAUAAAAGGAAAUGCAUGCUUCUGAAUGUCCAUUAAACGAUAAUGCAAAAGGCCUCCAGCUAAUAUGCCAAGCUUCAGCAUCCUAGUGGUUAACUUGGGAUCUGUCGGACAAAUUAACUACCAGCAAAGUCCUUACAUUUUAAAAAUUGCACUGGGGGUCAGGUUGAUGUUAUAUAUAGCGUAGAUGCAGGCCAGAAUUCAUCACCUUUGCAAGCCCAAUAUCAGGUACAAAUGGCAGGCACAAUAGGUGAUGCGGAAAUCAGGUGGAUAGCAACUUAACUUUCUUUCCAGCAGAGGAUAUAUAACUCAAACAAAGACUAUUUGGUGCUCGUCCUUCAACUAUGCCUAAAUUGGAACCCAAAGGUGGCAAAUUGAAUAAGUGACGAUUAUAUUAAUGAUCUCUUGCUUUAAUAUAUCAUGAUCUUCAAUGUUGAAGUCUUCUAUAAAUUGUUUAACUUUAUUAAAUUCUUUACUUAGUUGAUCUCUUAACUUUUUAAUUUUUUUUUUAUAUUUCCUUCAUUGAAAUUAUUAAUUUCUAAUAUUUUGUUUACCCAUUCUAUGUCAUUUAUAGAUAAAUUUGGGGUUUCUAAUUUAUUUAAUAAAUAUAGUGACAUUCAAUUUAAUUAAUUAUUUCUUCACAUGUUUGAAUCAUUGAUCAUAUCAAAUGGUUGAUAUUUUUCAUUAAGAUUCCGGUAAUUUAUUCAUUAUACUAUCUUUUUAAUAAUUCAUUAGAUUCGUAAGAUAGUUAUCACAUAUAAUAUUUCUUAUAAUUCAGGAUACUAAAUUUAGAUUACAAAAUCUAUGUGACAGCAUUGAUGGUAUGUAUUUAGGAUGAAAAAUAGAUUGAAUGUGUGUGUGUGUGUGUGUGUUAGAAGAAAAAUCUAGCCUAUGUCUCAAGAGAGACAAGAAAUUAUAAAUACAGGCAUAAAAAUAUAUUCAAAAUUUGUGGAUCUUUAUGAAUAUAAUAAUCAUUUAAAUCUUUAUAAAAAUAUAGUAAAAACUUUAUAAAGUUUUAAAAAUAAAUGUAAAAGAGAUGGAUGACAAAACCAUUUAAUUAUUAAAAAAUCAAUAAGUACUUAUUUGAUAAAAUAAGUAAAUAUGUGAUUAAAAAUAAAAAUUUUCUUUAAAUUAUUAUUACAUCUGUACUUUGUUUUAUGUUAAAAUUAUGUUUAUCCAUUGGAUUUAAGGAAUAUCAAAAUCAAUUGUUAACCCAAAACUUUGGUCAAAUUUCAAAAUUAGCCCUCCAAAUUUAUUUCUAUCAACAUUAGCCAAACAACAUCCAAAGUGGCGAAAAUGCCCCUCUCAUUCACCAAGCUUCCUCUUUCUCUAACGAACGAUUCUCUCCCAAGUUCACUCAUCGCCGACAACUUUCCAGAGUCCAUUCUCAGCAACCAACGUCACCAAAAUUUUGGCCAAAAUCUGAAAUCAAUAAUUAAUUCAAAAACCCUAAAUUUUAUUGCAUGUUCUAUUAUCUUUUCUUCUUUUUAUGUUGUGUUGGUGAUGGUGAGGGAAGAUUGAAUAGUUUGUGAUAUUGGUGGCUUGAGUGAAGUUGUUGGAGUGGGUGAUGGCCAAUUUGUAGGGGUGUGGGGUGCUGGCCAAUUUGUGGGGGUGUGGGGUGCCGGCCAUGGCUAGGCAUAGCACCUGAUCAGGUGCGAUAGACACCCUGUCACACCAAGAGACAGUGUGCGUGCAACUAUCUGUUACCUGUCACACCAACAUACAAUGCCACCGAAACUCUUGUCGCACCAUAUCAACUCAACAAAUGCCUCUUAACACUUUGGUGAUGCAAAAACAAAAAAUAAAUAAUUUAAGAAACAUUUUAUCAAACACUUAAUGUGCAAUACUUCUACAAAACUAAUUUUUUUUCAAUUAACUUAUCUAGAUUUUGGACUCUAAUUCACUUUGUUAGAAUCGUGUCGGAUUGGUGUUGGAUUCGACUAAAUUUGAUCGAACUCCCCUUUUACCAUUACCGUUACCGGUCGCCGUUGCCAUUUGCCGCUACCGACGAUGAUUCAAGAGGGAAAAAUUGUGUUCGGUUUGAUAAAGAGGAGAGAAGUUGGGAUUGAACUAACAAGGGUAUUUUGGGGUAAAAAAACUUGUGUUUAACUAGUUAUAAUAGAAAAAAGUUUCAAAGAUUAAAUGUGAAAAAUGACAAAAUUGUUUGGUUAGUUUUGUAAAUUUCCCAAAUCAAUUGCCUAUAUUCAUUAGCUUGGCCCAAACUUAAAUAAUUGGACAUCAAUAAGCAAUAAGUCUCUGUUGAGUAAUAUAUAAAUAAAGAAAACGAUAGAAAUAGACCAUAAGUAAAUUAAUGAAACCACAUUAGAAAAGCAAGCAAAUGGGCUGGUUAGAAUCACAAUCGCAGCUGCCGGCUGGCAUGGCUAGGUACAAGCAAAGUUACAUGAAUUUGUGGUUCAGAAAAGCAUUUUCUCUUGGAGUUUUAAAGCUUUGAAUUGAAUCUUGAAGUUUAAGCUUUUCAAUACAGCGAGAUCACUCGGUAAGAGUCUAAUAAUUAUUUGACUAUUGAAAAUUCAUCAAAGAGAGUAAAGGAGAAGCAAUGAACAGUUGAACUACAUGACAUCUCUCCCUGGAAUGAUAUCGUUACCAAGAAACAACAUGUCCCCCGCUCUUUCAAACUGUAGACAAAAUGUUUAGGAUUCCAGAACAUAAGAUCCAAUUUGUCGCAAAAUGUCGCAUAGAUCAAUUGUUUGCACCACUUAAGGAACUCUGGACAAGCUGUUUGUUUCUUCUGUGAAACCGUUUUGUGAUAUUCCAACUUGGAAGUAAAGAUGCUCUUAGACAAAUCGCCCUACAACUGGCUACCAUAACACCUGGCAGAAUUUGGAGCAAUAUACAGCAAGGUGAUGAAGCAUCUGCACUGUUACCACAAGCAAUCCAUUGAAAGAAUACAAGAAACUGAAGAAAGAACGCUGACAGCAUAUUUGUGCAUUGCUAUUAUAAAAGGAAAUGCAUGCUUCUGAAUGUCCAUUAAACUAUAAUGCAAAAGGCCUCCAGCUAACAUGCCAAGCUUCAGCAUCCUAAUGGUUAACUUGGGAUCUGUCGGACACAUUAACCACCAGCAAAGUCCUUACAUUUUUAAAAUUGCACUGGGUAUCAGGUUGAUGUUAUCUAUAGCAUAGAUACAGGCCAGAAUUCAUCACCUUUGCAAGCCCAACAUCAGGUACAAAUGGCAGGCACAAUAGGUGAUGCGGAAAUCUGGUGGAUUGCAUCUUAACAUUCUUUCCAGCAGAGGAUAUAUAACUCAAAUAAAGAAUAUUUGGUGCUCAUCCUUCAACUAUGCCUAAAUUGGAACCCAAAGGUGGCACAUUGAAUAAGUGACGAUUAUCUUAAUCCCAACUCAUGAUUCAGCUUUCUGGAGGCUUUCUAAGAAAUAGUUUACAAUUCUGUCAAAUAUGAAAUUUGACAUCUAGGGAUACUGUUGUGCAUAGCUCCUCCAUAACAACAGGUAUGGCAUUCAAAAGUCAAAUAGGUUACUGACCAAAAAAAUCAUCCUUCCAUUUUACAAGGCGUGUUUAAGAUUUGAUCCACCAAACGAAUGAAAGAAGUAUUUACAAAAUCAAGUUUGGAGACAGAGCUAAGAAGAAGUGCCUCCCAAACUCUUGCUCCAGGAGAAACAUCCUUGUCAGCCAUUUGCUUGAGCAAUUCUAGCGCCUUACGAACCAACCCCCUUUGGCACAGCCCACAUAUUGUCUCAUCAAACAUCGAACUUUGAGUGCACAAACCCUUAUUCAGUGCCUCCUCCAACAGACCACAAGCUUCAAUAAUAUCACCUUUACUAGCCAAACCAUCAAUCAUAAUACUAUAUGUCUGCAAAUUUAACACAAUGCCUUUCCAUUUCAUCUCCUUUACAAGUUCCCUUAAUCUAUUUAGCUCCCGAACCUUGCACAAAGCCUGCAACAAUGUAUUGUAAGUAAUCACAUCUGGUUUGCUUCCCAACUCCUCCAUACAAGCAAUCAUCUUUAUUCCAGCUUCGACAUUAUUUUGCUUACACAAACCAUUUAUAUACACAUUGUAAGUAUAAACAUCAGGAACUAAACCCAACACAAGCAAUUCAUCAAACAGCUCCUCUGCUUUCACAUAAUCCUCCUGUACUAUAACCCCAUUCAAUACCAUAGUAUAACAAACGAUAUCAGGCUUAAUGCCAUCUGAUUUCAUCUGGUUCAAAAUACCCAAUGCAUCAAAAACCUUUUCUUUCUUCACCAAAGACCUAAUCACAUUUGUAUAAUCAACCAUGCCAAAACAAAACCCUAAUUUCUUCAUUUCUUGAACAAAGCCUAAAAGUUCAUCACUAGACAAGUCUCUUUGUUCACAAACAGAUGACAAAAUCCAAGAGCAAGUCUUUCCAUCAACACAAAACCCAUCGUUAAUCAUACAAUUCAAUAUCUCAAUAGCAAAACCAACUCUAUUAAUUCUACAAAGGGUACUAAUCAAUAUCCGAAAACUCGAUUCCUCAAUCCUAAUAUUCAUAAGCUGACUCUUGAGCAAAAUUUGUGGAACCAUUUUAACCCAUUCUUUAUUUCUACAAAGAACUGAAAGCAGAGCAUUAAGUGAGUACACAGAAGGCACACACCUGAACUUGGGUAUUUUAUAAAACAGAUUAACUGAAUCUUGAAAUCUGUGAGCAUCUGCAUAAGUUUUAAUUAGAUCAAUAAAUAUAAACUCAGGUGUUUCAAAGUUUUCCCUUUUUUCAAUGUGAUCAAGAACUGAGGAAAUGUCACAAAAUUGAGAGUUUUCAGCUAGGGUUUUGAUGACAAAGUGGUAAGCUUCUGGGGGUGGUUCACAAUUGUAAAUGCUAAAUGAGUGUAAUAAAGAAGAUAGAAUAUGGGGCUGCUUAGGGAUUUGUUGUUGUUGUUUUGUUGGUGGUGUUGUUAAAGAUUGUUUGACAUUUUGCUUUGCUUGUUGUUGGUCUAAAGUUUGGUGCCAUUUGGCCUUGUAAGGUGACAAUGGCCAUUUUCUGUGUUUUCUAAGGUGAAGAUUUGCACGCUUAAGAGCAGAGGAUCUGACCAUUUUGAGAUGAAGAUUUGAACAGAUUCUGAAAUAAAAGAUUGGAUAUUGAUUUAAACCCAAUAACUUUAAAUAAAGGCUCCCCCUCCCCGCUCCCCCUACCCGGGGAUUUUAAACUGUUUCCUUUUUUUUUUUUUUGGAAAGGUUAAACUGUGUAAUUCAAUUCAAAGUUCAGUUACCAACCUCUCCAUUGAGCCCACCAAGUACAGAUAUUAAGGUUAUGUUGGUAAAUUUUGAUUCUUGUGCUUUUGCUUAAUUUACUUUGACGUAUCAUACAUAUAUUUAUAUGAAGCCUGGAAGCUGCAUAUCCUUUCGUUAGAACGCCCAAUUGCACAUUUUCAUAAGCGCAAGGAGCCUUGCCCAUUGACUUGUAAAGUUGUGAGGUGGUUUCUCGUAAAAACUAUGGCAACAGCAUAUUGACCAGAGACUUCUUUUCCUAUUAAUAAAUUGUUGCGUGACGAGUUGUUUAACAUUGAAAUCCAUAGAAAGGCUUUACGGCAGCAGAAAAGUAUUUAAAUCUAGAAGAAAUUGACUGAUCGAAUUAGAUACUGUCGCCUUCCUUGACUCACAAAGUUCUCAAAUCCAUCAACCCACCUGUUUUUCACCCAGGCCCUUGAUAGCAUAGGCAAAUAACAAGGCUCACGAAACGAGGAUUAAUUGAUCUCUCUCAUAAAAAAUUGGGGGGAAAAAAAAACCAAGUCACCUUCAUUUCAAUGGCACAAUUAGCUAUCUUUCAUCCACCACUAAUCAAUCCUGUUUCAAUCAUCAGCCCUGAGUUUUGUGCUCCUCAUCUUAUUGAUCUUGCAAUAGUGAGAAAGGUUAUGACCAUAAGCAGUGGCAACUUUGUUGUACGGGACAUCAUGGGGAACAUCAUUUUUAAAGUAAAAGGGACCCUUAUGAGCAUUCAAGAUCGUCGCGUUUUACUUGAUGCAUCUGGAAAUCCCAUUGUCACUCUACAACAAAAGGUCACGUAAUUGGUUACAUAAUUAAUAUCUUUCUUUGUUGAUCUCUUUUAAAGCUAAAUUUUUUAUUCAUUUCGUUCCAUGCAGUUAAUGUCAGCUCAUGACAGAUGGCAAGUUUUCAGGGGAGAAAGUACAGAGUCCUGUGAUCUCAUCUUUACUGCUAAAAGAUCAUCAGUGUUCCAGCUAAAGACCAAAUUAGAUGUGUUCUUAGCUAAUAACAGAGAGGACGUUUGUGAUUUUAAAGUCAAAGGAGGUUGGCUGGACAGAUCUUGUGUUGUUUAUGCUGGGGACGCAGACUCUUCCACAAUUGUUGCCCAUGUAAGAUCUUUUGCAACUUACAGCAAAUCAUUUUUCUAUAUGUUAAAUUCAGACUAAUAGAAUCAUAUGGAUUAUUGGAUAUACUUGCAGAUGCAUAAGAAGCACUCUGUCAAAAGUAUCUUGCUUGGAAAGGACAAGUUCAUGGUGACAGUGUAUCCGAAUGUUGAUUAUGCAUUCAUUAUUUCCCUUAUUGUAAUUCUUGAUGAAAUUAAUAGCUAAAACGACUAAUAUUGUUUGCUAUUGCUACAAUUGGGUUCAGAUUGACCGGUAAAAUAGUGAUAUAAUAUGUUGAUAAAUAGGGCGAGUCACUUGCUCAAGUCUACUCUUCUGGUUGAAUAUCAUGUUCUAAUACUCCAUAAUGGAUGUUGGAGACAAUUAACUAAGGGAUUUUUUUCCCCAAAUUGAUGUAUGCCCGCGUUAUUGUUGUUUGUUUGUAUUACUUUGGGUCAUUAAACAAAAUCCUGGAUAGAGUUUUGGGGGGGGCUUAUCUCUUGCCUUCAAAAUGUUUGAUAGAAGUUCUAAGAGAGCAUUAUAAGUUGGGGAACAAGUAUUAGCUUGCGCCAAGCACCUCCUUGUUCAGGUAUUCCCUCUACCAAGAAGGUUGAGUACUUGCAUCGGAAGUCCCUACCAACGUUCUUUUCUUUUUAUCGCAUUUUGCUCCUGAAAUUAAUCAUAUGAUCACAGAUAUGCGGCUUAUUUUAUUCAGAUUAACAAGUUUUGAAAGGGUUUAAAUAAUUUAGAUCGCUGCAUGCAAUGACACAAUCUGAACACAGUUUCUUUCAAACGAGCCGUUAACUCUUCUCAUUCGCACGAUCUGGUCACAGGACUCCACGCAAUUCGCAUGUCAGUAUAUCACAAAACUACAAAGGUAUCAUGUCAAUACUGACAGCCACAAUCUUAGUGCGCGACCCUCUUGGCACGUUUUUUCACACUUUGUUCGAUAAGGUCUGUGUGGUUAUCAUGUGAUCUUAGUGCGUAUGUAUUUCUUUCUUACAUCAGAGAAAUCAUUAAUUCAUGAACUAUUCGAGAUAUUUUUGUUUCUUUUCAUCGUGUGGUUCACACUCGAUUGCCAUGUCAAUUAUUACCACUCAGAAAUGAUCAGUGCCCUUCUUUGCAUAUAUCUAUAUAUUAAGAAUCCUCAUGCAAGUCUAAAACCUAUACCAAUUGGAGGUGCGAGCAAAGGCUCGUAUCAUAUCAUGGAGCAACCAAUUACACAACACACUGCAGACCAGAUGCCACAGCAACCAAACCCACAGCAAAUUCCACAGCAGCCAAUUAAUAUUCCAGCGCCAACUCCAGCACCAACAAUAUAUUCCAAUCCGGUUUCGGUAAUCGGCCCUCAGUAUUGCCUUCCUUAUCCCGUUGAUCUAUCCAUCGUUAGAAAGUUUUUAACCCUCACCGAUGGCAGUUUUGCUGUCACUGAUAUCAAUGACAAUCUCAUGUUCAAAGUGAAAGAAAAACUUAUAAGCCUCCAUGACAAGCGGACUCUACUUGAUCCUGCUGGCAACCCUAUUGUCACCAUAACAGAGAAAGUACACGCUUUCAUUUCCGUACUCUACAGAAUGCGGACUAGUUAACAAUAAUAUUGCUAAUUUAUUUUUCUUUGUUGUUUUACUACUUGUAUACAUAUGCAGGUUUUUUCCUUGCACGAGAAGCAUUUUGUAUUCAGGGGGGCUAGCACAGACACUAAAGAUCUUCUCUUUACUGUGGAAAGAUCUUCAGUGAUCCAAUUGAAGACCACUUUGAAC